RNAcentral lists this long non-coding RNA (632 nucleotides) under Sorghum bicolor (sorghum). RNAcentral's name for it is "long non-coding RNA (SBIC_LNC002289)". The record is from RNAcentral. Lineage: Eukaryota; Viridiplantae; Streptophyta; Magnoliopsida; Poales; Poaceae.
AGAGAGAGAGAGAGAGAGAGAGAGAGAGAGGGCAGGUAGCAUCAUAGGCUCUGGUCUUGUUUAGUCCGAAAAUUUUUUAGUUUUACGUAUUGUAGCAUAUUUAUUUUUAUUUGAUAAUUAUUGUCUAAUCAUGAACUAAAUAUACUUAAAAGAUUCAUCUCAUGAUUUAUAUUUAAACUAUACAAUUAGUUUUUAUUUUUAUUUAUAUUAUUAGAGUGUCAGAAGAUUAGCCAGAAAAAUAGGCGAGGCCCUGCUGCAUGGGACCCUGAAGUCUGAACGCGUCUGGCUCCGACCUCUCCUCGACGUGCAGUCCCCCUCUGGAUCAAAUUGAAGAAGGCCACACACGAAAUCGGCUCACGGCAGGCAAGAACCAAAGCAUCCUGGGCUGGUGAGUUGGGUUUGGCCCAACUAGUUACGACUCAUGAGGGAAAGGACCGAACCCAGAAGGAUGCAGGAGUAGGCCGAAAAGAAUCAGCCACACAAAAAAAAAAAAGGCUUCUCCAUUUCGUUUUCCCACAGAGAACACAACUUUUCUAUUUACAGGAUUUUCAGAACUCUGAUUUAAAGGUUCAGAUACAUUUUUUUUAUAACAGCAAAAUUUAGAAAAUGCAUGCAAGGAAAUAUUAUGCGGC